AGUCCUCUCCGUUCCCGCCUGCCGCGCCCUCUCCUCCCUCCCCGCGGCGCCCUAGGUCACCCGCCUUCCCGGCCCUUUCCGCCUCCCUCUCGGCCCGUUCGUGAACCCCACACCCGCACCCUCACCCUGGGUCACCUUGCACGCUCUCCUCGAGCUCCUCCCACUGCCCUCCCUCCCCCUCUCCUCCCCAGGCCCCUCCGCCUUGCUCGGAUCCGCACACCCCCAGGAGGUCCCCAGGCUGAGUUGAGAAGAGGGGGACCUGGGUCCCGGCCUGGCCUGCUGGGUGCCGUGUGCCCUGGGGCAAGGCCUGCCCCCCUCUGGUUUGGCCUCCAGCCAGUCGGCUCUAGGAAUGGCUUUCCUUUGGAAACUUGUCUAAUCCAAGACAUUUUGCUGAGUAGAGUUCUCGGCAGUAACCUAGCUGGGUUUUUUGUUUUCUUCUGAUAUAAAAGUAAUCACCCCAAAAAUGUUUAAAAAUACAAAGUGUACAAAGUAAAAGGCGAAAGCCUGAUCUCACUGCUCACUGAGGGGCAGACACAGGGCAAGUAAAUACACAAGAUUUCAGAUAGUGAUGAGCGCUAGAAAGGCAGGCAAAGGGCGGCGGCGUGAGCGGCGCGGGGUGGGGGUUCCGAAGGGCGGCCAGGUGAAGAUUAAGGGGCGUGUCCUGCAGAUUCCACACAGAAGACAAGCUGAGACCUGUCCUGCUAUAUGCCCAGUACCCAGCACCAUGCCUGGACACCAAGCAGAUGUUCUCAAAAAUUCUCUCUUCAACAGAAAAGCCUUUUUGGUGAUAGCACCUCCAAUCGUCAGGAACUCUCUAUUUGCUUCUGAAUUUUGAUCCUCAGGCAGUGUUUCUGCUCAUUAACCAGUAAUUCUUCUCUGGGUAUAUGGCUGACAGCAGAACAGAGGAUCUCAGGCGGCCUGGCAGCGUGGGUCUGCGCGGGCGAAUCAUCUUCCAGUGGAAUUAAAGCAAACCUUAACUCUAAACCUGAAGAUGUCACUCUAGGUCUGUGGGCCACUGCCCAGCUCCACUGCCAAAGGCCUUGGGCUUUCCAGAGCUUCUCAUGAUACAAGAUGCAACUUGCCCUCCUCUACCCUAAUGCUCCAAGCCCCUCUCCUAGGCCUCACCAAGCUUGCACCCUGACCUCCUAGUGGCUUUCAAGCUGAGGCCAUGCCAGGAGGAGGAGCUGGGGUGGCGGAGGUGAGCCUCAGUGCUGACCCAGGGGAGGAAUGGGGAAGCCUGGGAGGCUUGAGUGGUUAAAAUGUGGCAGGCUGGCAGAAAGUACCCGGGGCUGCUGGAUACCUGCCAGCGUGUGAAUAGGAAGAGGGCACGAGGGCACAGUUCUAAAGUAGUAUUUACUUUGGUUUUCACUUCUCUAAGGCCCUGGGACCUUUUAAAAGUUCUAGCUGUU
Molecule: long non-coding RNA, 1409 nt
Filed under: Canis lupus dingo (dingo)
Lineage: Eukaryota; Metazoa; Chordata; Mammalia; Carnivora; Canidae
Description: lncRNA (ENSCAFG00020022775.1)
Source: RNAcentral